RNAcentral lists this ribosomal RNA (231 nucleotides) under uncultured bacterium. RNAcentral describes it as "partial 16S ribosomal RNA". It matches the Rfam family "Bacterial small subunit ribosomal RNA", at positions 524 to 753 of the family's 1533-position model. The record is from RNAcentral.
UACAGAGGGUGCGAGCGUUGUCCGGAAUCACUGGGCGUAAAGGGCGCGUAGGUGGCGACCCAAGUCGAUGGUGAAAGCUCGCCGCUCAACGGCGAGUCGGCCACCGAUACUGGGUUGCUGGAGCACUGUAGAGGCAGAUGGAAUUCCGGGUGUAGCGGUGGAAUGCGUAGAGAUCCGGGAAGAACACCGGUGGCGAAGGCGGUCUGCUGGGCAGUUGCUGACACUGAGGCG